GAAGUGCGAUAAGCAAUGCGAAUUGCAGAACCGUGAGUCAUCGAAUCUUUGAACGCACCUUGCGCUCCUUGGUAUUCCUUGGAGCAUGCCUGUUUGAGUAUCAUGAAAUCUUCAAAGUAAAUCUUUUGUUAACUCAAUUGGUUUCUACUUUGGUAUUGGAGGUCUUUGCAGCUUCACACCUGCUCCUCUUUGUUCAUUAGCUGGAUCUCAGUGUUAUGCUUGGUUCCACUCGGCGUGAUAAGUUAUCUAUCGCUGAGGACACUGUAAAAGGUGGCCAAGGUAAAUGCAGAUGAACCGCUUCUAAUAGUCCAUUGACUUGGACAAUACUUUUAUGAUCUGAUCUCAAAUCAGGUAGGACUACCCGCUGAACUUAAGC
This 376-nucleotide unclassified non-coding RNA is filed under the name plant metagenome. Its description in RNAcentral is "partial contains 5.8S ribosomal RNA, internal transcribed spacer 2, and large subunit ribosomal RNA". The stretch from base 1 to 103 matches the Rfam family "5.8S ribosomal RNA", at positions 50 to 154 of the family's 154-position model. The record is from RNAcentral.